Esox lucius (northern pike) is the source of this 2944-nucleotide long non-coding RNA. RefSeq lists it as uncharacterized. The transcript has 3 exons. Lineage: Eukaryota; Metazoa; Chordata; Actinopteri; Esociformes; Esocidae. The record is from RefSeq and is a predicted model, not a curated record.
CCGGGGGGACGGGGUGGACGUGUCCCCUCCAAUAUUGGAGACAGUAACAAAUUGUCCCACCCAGACAUUAUACCGCGGAGGAGAACAAUAUUUUAUUUUGACAUCUGUAACUCGCUUGCUUUUAUUUUGAAAGCGCAACACAGCGUCUUGCCUCCGGCCCGCCCCUCAACGGCUCGGCUCAGAGUGCUUGGGAAGCGGGAGUCUGUAGCUGUUGAGCAGCGUGUGGUCAGAGGUUAAGAUGAAAAGACAGCAGCAGCUCAUUUUUAGAGAUUUCUUUCUCAUGGGGAAGAAAAGAAAGGGAAUAAGGGAGGCUGUCAUACCAAUAACACUGGUCAGAAAGGUAGCCAGAGCAUGGGAGAGAGAGAGGCCUCAAACCAACAGAUCAGAAUGAGCCAGAGCACCCAUCAGCAGCUGAUCAUCCAGAGCUCCUUCUCAACCCAGCACCCCUAGGGCCACUCAGAGAAGGCCUGGAAAUCCCCAGUGUCCAAUGCAGCCAGUGAUGAUCCAAAUCAUAGGUAGAACUUGGAGAUGUAAGAUGUAAGAUGGAAACAGAAAAUACAACACAUGGAAGUGUAAGGAACAAGAUGUGCCUCUCUGCAUAAAUAAUGACAGGAAACUUCAAUUAUACAUUUGCUAUUAACAGUAAAUGGGACAUUGAAGGGGCAGACUGUGGAAGAAAUAUAUUUAAUAUUUACAUUUUUAUAUUUAAUUUUUUUUAGAUAUAAUUUUUCUCAAAGAUCUAAUAAUGUAAUUACAGUGUCCUCUUGUGGUUGUUACAAUUACUACAAGUAGUUACUUUUUUAUUGUUUUUAUGGGUAACUGAUUUUUAAUUUGGAAUUGUCACUGCAAAUUAGAUUUUGCUAAAUCAUUUUGGGUAAAUAAAAAUAACUAUGAGGUACUAUGAGGCACCCUACCCUUCUCUGUGCUGGUCUGGGGGCAUAGUCAGGACAUGGCAGAAUAGAUGCCUCUAGGCAUCUCUGUGGUUUUGUUCAGGUGUCCCCAAUUAGAGGCAGUUGGCCUGCAUUGCCGGACAGGCGAGUGACAAAGAUUGGGCUGAUCACACUCACCCUGGAAAUUGAAUAUUUAGUGAUCUCCUGUCUGGAAGAAGGCUGAGGUCAAUCAGGUCCAAAACCUCCCGCCACAAGAACAGUUUCUUUCCUCAGCAGUAGGCUUCAUGAAUAUGCCCUUGGAACCAAAUUGACUAUAGCCCACUUCCCAACUUACAACCCACAACGGAUAAAUGUAGAACCCUCUCCCACAUACACACACAACGCUAAACGGGACAAUCUAUUACCCCUUCCCACAUACAUACAUAAAUAACCCUCAACUGGACAAAAACUUGCCCCUUACAUUUUAGUAAUUCAUUAAUACACAGGUCAACUUUUUUUAUGCUCAUUCCGCUGUUCUUAUUUGUUUUUACUUCCCUUAUUCCUUUUUGUAUUAAAUGUUGGACCAACAGCCAGAACAAAUUCCUUGUUGCUUGUGAAACGUACUUGGCAAUAAAACUCUUUCUGAUUCAUGUGUCCAGACUGCCAAUGUCCUACACAGCAGAGGGGUCACAAGCUACACCUGGCUGCUCGGUCCUUCUUGCACAGGUAAAUCCAACAGGUAGGUAUUCCACUCCAGGGUGAGUUCCAUCUCUGUACCUCUCUGCCUUCAACACACUCAGUCUGGACCUAAACACAGUGAUUAGCUGACUGGUAUCAGCCGAGCGCUCUGGCACUGCUUGUAAUGAGCCCUAACCUCCACGAGAGGGCGCAGUAGGACUGCUUGACCCCCCUGAUCUCUCACACUACUACAAUACAUGGCUAGUAGGUUACUUUAUCCAAUGACAUUGGUGCAUUGUGUUCAAGCAUUAGCCUACAUUGUGUUCACAUUCAUAUUUCAAAUGCAGGUGGUACAGUGGUUCUCAAAAGUAUUCACCCCUCAAGGCCUUUUUUAUUUUAUUGUAACAACAUGUUAUCAAAAUUGACUAAAAUCAUUGAUUUCAUAAGUAUUCCCAUCCUAUAGUUAAUAUUUGGCAAAGGAAAAUUUGGCAGCAAUUACCCAGAUUUUACUAUUUCCCAAUGUCGUCAUAGCUUAAAUCCAUGUCUCCCAACCUUUUUCAGUUAUUGUACCACCGACAGAAUAUUUCUCUGCUUGGAGGACCCCUGAAGUACCCCCUCAUGUUAAUCUUACUAGUAAGCCUAUGGUGUCAUGAGUGUUUUCAAGUACCCCCUAUGGAAAGGCUAAGUCUAGUAACCCUGGUUGGGAACCACUGUCUUAAAUGAUAAUGAGAAGGGCGUGUCUAAAACCAUGCAGGGCAUCUAUUGGUUCAGGGUGUCUGUAUCCAGUGUCAGUGGUGAAAACAAUUAUAUUGGUAAUUAAUAUUGAACAAUUCUUAGAUUUAAUUUUUCACAUUGACAUUGUUUUGUUUUUCAGUUUCAUCUUAAAAUAAGUAUUGGUCCAUGAGGGGUGAAUACUUUUGAGCGCCACUGUAGUUGCUUGAGGAAAGCUGCAUGUUCCAGAAUCUACUCAGAUUGGUUAAAAUGUGAAAACAUGACAUGCUCAGCAUGCACUGAGUUCAUUGGUCAGAAAAAGCAAUGCUCUGCCAAUCAGAGUCCUCUUGGGUAUCUCUACUUGCAAACACUAAAACAUACCACUAGAGAAUGUGUUUUACAAGCGGGCCCUGUUCCAGGAUUAAAUUAUUAUUAUUAUUUUUUUAUAAAUGAGGGGCCAAAUCAAAUUCAUAUUAGACCAUUUACAGUGUUCAUGGGGGGAAAAAACUGACAAGUAUUAGUUUUAUUUUACAUUGGAAUCAAAAGUUCCCACUCGUUGGAACAAGCAUUCCGUUUUGGUAAGCAUUAGAUCGCAUGAUCCACAACUACACCACCAAUCAUUCUGGGCAAGUGUUAGUGACUAACGGGUUCACCAGCGACCCUCUCCUCAGCUGCUGUCCGAGUCC